AUUGAACGCUGGCGGCAGGCCUAACACAUGCAAGUCGAACGAGUGGCGGACGGGUGAGUAAUGUCUGGGAAACUGCCUGAUGGAGGGGGAUAACUACUGGAAACGGUAGCUAAUACCGCAUACCAUCAGAUGUGCCCAGAUGGGAUUAGCUUGUUGGUGGGGUAAAGGCUCACCAAGGCGACGAUCACUAGCUGGUCUGAGAGGAUGACCAGCCACACUGGAACUGGUCCACGGUCCAUACGCCUACAGGAUGCAGCAGUGGGGAAUAUUGCACAAUGGGCGCAAGCCUUAGGCUGCGAUGCCGCGUGUAUGAAGAAGGCCGUCGGGUUGUAAAGUACGUUCAGCGGGGAGGCGUUAACCGCAGAAGAAGCACCGGCUAACACCGUGCCAGCAGCCGCGGUAAUUC
RNAcentral lists this ribosomal RNA (406 nucleotides) under uncultured bacterium. RNAcentral's name for it is "partial 16S ribosomal RNA". It matches the Rfam family "Bacterial small subunit ribosomal RNA", at positions 30 to 526 of the family's 1533-position model. The record is from RNAcentral.